GCCCUGGCAGUCAGAGGCGAUGAAGGACGUGCUAAUCUGCGAAAAGCGCCGGUAAGGUGAUAUGAACCGUUAUAACCGGCGAUGUCCGAAUGGGGAAACCCAGUGUGACUCGUCACACUAUCAUUAACUGAAUCCAUAGGUUAAUGAGGCGAACCGGGGGAACUGAAACAUCUAAGUACCCCGAGGAAAAGAAAUCAACCGAGAUUCCCCCAGUAGCGGCGAGCGAACGGGGAGGAGCCCAGAGCCUGAAUCAGCAUGUGUGUUA
Molecule: ribosomal RNA, 265 nt
Filed under: Salmonella enterica subsp. diarizonae
Lineage: Bacteria; Pseudomonadati; Pseudomonadota; Gammaproteobacteria; Enterobacterales; Enterobacteriaceae
Description: partial 23S ribosomal RNA
Rfam family: Bacterial large subunit ribosomal RNA
Source: RNAcentral